RNAcentral lists this ribosomal RNA (433 nucleotides) under uncultured bacterium. RNAcentral's name for it is "partial 16S ribosomal RNA". It matches the Rfam family "Bacterial small subunit ribosomal RNA", at positions 29 to 508 of the family's 1533-position model. The record is from RNAcentral.
AGCGAACGCUGGCGGCAGGCCUAACACAUGCAAGUCGAACGAACUCUUCGGAGUUAGUGGCGGACGGGUGAGUAACACGUGGGAACGUGCCUUUUGGUUCGGAAUAACUCAGGGAAACUUUUGCUAAUACCGAAUGUGCCCUUCGGGGGAAAGAUUUAUCGCCAUUAGAUCGGCCCGCGUCUGAUUAGCUAGUUGGUGAGGUAACGGCUCACCAAGGCGACGAUCAGUAGCUGGUCUGAGAGGAUGACCAGCCACACUGGUACUGAGACACGGCCCAGACAAAUAGGGGAGGAACCAGGGGGAAAUCUUGAAAAAGGGCAAAAAGGUGGAGCAGUCAAUGCCGGGUGAAUAAAGAGGUUGUAAGAAUUAAAAAAGUUUUUACCAGGGGCGAAAAAGAAGGUAACCGGAGAAAGAGACCCCGAAACUUUUGGUC